AUUUUUCUGGGGUAGUUUAAAAGAAUUGAUAAUUACCUAAAUUUAACUUGGAAACUACAGAUUUGGGUGGGGAAUUAAUGCUAAUAGUUUGCUUAAAUUAAAAUUAGAUUGUUUCCAUUUUUCUGUAGGAUGAUGUUGAUAAAUGUUUUUGUAUAAUCAACUAUUUUCUCUAAACAUCUAUUAUAUACUAAACAAAAAGAACUUGUAUUUUGUGAAUUGUUUUCAAAUGACUUAAUUUGUC
Molecule: long non-coding RNA, 241 nt
Filed under: Bos taurus (domestic cattle)
Lineage: Eukaryota; Metazoa; Chordata; Mammalia; Artiodactyla; Bovidae
Description: long non-coding RNA NONBTAT017086
Source: RNAcentral